CCUACGGGCGGCUGCAGUGGGGAAUAUUGGACAAUGGGCGAAAGCCUGAUCCAGCCAUGCCGCGUGUGUGAAGAAGGCCUUCGGGUUGUAAAGCACUUUCAGUGGGGAAGAAAGCCUUGGGGCUAAUACCCUCGAGGAAGGACAUCACCCACAGAAGAAGCACCGGCUAACUCCGUGCCAGCAGCCGCGGUAAUACGGAGGGUGCGAGCGUUAAUCGGAAUUACUGGGCGUAAAGCGCGCGUAGGCGGUCUGAUAAGCCGGUUGUGAAAGCCCCGGGCUCAACCUGGGAACGGCAUCCGGAACCGUCAGGCUAGAGUGCAGGAGAGGAAGGUAGAAUUCCCGGUGUAGCGGUGAAAUGCGUAGAGAUCGGGAGGAAUACCAGUGGCGAAGGCGGCCUUCUGGACUGACACUGACGCUGAGGUGCGAAAGCGUGGGUAGCAAACAGGAUUAGAUACCCCGGUAGUC
RNAcentral lists this ribosomal RNA (465 nucleotides) under Vreelandella stevensii. RNAcentral describes it as "partial 16S ribosomal RNA". It matches the Rfam family "Bacterial small subunit ribosomal RNA", at positions 338 to 795 of the family's 1533-position model. Lineage: Bacteria; Pseudomonadati; Pseudomonadota; Gammaproteobacteria; Oceanospirillales; Halomonadaceae. The record is from RNAcentral.